UUUCCAGAGAACAGUAAGUCGCUCUGGAUAAGAGCGUCUGCUAAAUGUCUAAAA
Salmo salar (Atlantic salmon) is the source of this 54-nucleotide non-coding RNA. The record is from Rfam. NCBI's taxonomy places the organism in Eukaryota, Metazoa, Chordata, Actinopteri, Salmoniformes, Salmonidae.